Molecule: small nuclear RNA, 23 nt
Filed under: Arabidopsis thaliana (thale cress)
Lineage: Eukaryota; Viridiplantae; Streptophyta; Magnoliopsida; Brassicales; Brassicaceae
Description: snRNA_11311
Source: RNAcentral
AGAUCAUAAUUUGAAAUAUUUAU